This 450-nucleotide ribosomal RNA is filed under the name uncultured bacterium. RNAcentral describes it as "bacterial SSU rRNA". It matches the Rfam family "Bacterial small subunit ribosomal RNA", at positions 29 to 523 of the family's 1533-position model. The record is from RNAcentral.
AACGAACGCUGGCGGCAUGCCUAACACAUGCAAGUCGAACGAGACCUUCGGGUCUAGUGGCGCACGGGUGCGUAACGCGUGGGAAUCUGCCCUUGGGUUCGGAAUAACAGUUAGAAAUGACUGCUAAUACCGGAUAAUGUCUUCGGACCAAAGAUUUAUCGCCCAGGGAUGAGCCCGCGUAGGAUUAGCUAGUUGGUGAGGUAAAGGCUCACCAAGGCGACGAUCCUUAGCUGGUCUGAGAGGAUGAUCAGCCACACUGGGACUGAGACACGGCCCAGACUCCUACGGGAGGCAGCAGUGGGGAAUAUUGGGACAAUGGGCGAAAGCCUGAUCCAGCAAUGCCGCGUGAGUGAUGAAGGCCUUAGGGUUGUGAAGCUCUUUUACCCGGGAUGAUAAUGACAGUACCGGGAGAAUAAGCCCCGGCUAACUCCGUGCCAGCAGCCGCGCAAU